RNAcentral lists this long non-coding RNA (265 nucleotides) under Panax ginseng (ginseng). RNAcentral describes it as "long non-coding RNA (PGIN_LNC008767)". The record is from RNAcentral. Lineage: Eukaryota; Viridiplantae; Streptophyta; Magnoliopsida; Apiales; Araliaceae.
GUAAAAGUCCUCAGUGGCCUGUAGUGCAUUGAUGGACAGUUUUUGGUAUGAUUAUGACCAGGGAUUAUUCGGUAUAGUCAUGACCAUUGAUGAUUUAAUGAAUAUCCUUGGCCCGUAGUGCAGGGAUGACUCGAUGAUGUGGUUUAUUUAUUAAGCUGAGUCUCAGCGAUAAAAAUUGAUAAAAACAUUUUAAAUCAUAGAAGAUAGUAGAUAUCAUGCUCUACUUGACUCUUCUAAUGGAUUGCUUAUUCCGCUGCAGUUAAAC